CCAAACUUGGUCAUUUAGAGGAAGUAAAAGUCGUAACAAGGUUUCCGUAGGUGAACCUGCGGAAGGAUCAUUAUAAAUAUGUCACUGCCAUUUCUCUUCGGAGGAUGUGAGAGCAAACUACUCUUCUCACAAACUUAAAGGUCGCUUGCGGCUGGAUGGUGCGUGUAGAGUCCCAACCCUUUGUGAACCUAUAACCUUUUUGCUUCGGCAGCGCGUCUUCAUAUGAAGGCGGUAAGGCUGCCGAUAGCCCAUUAUAAACUAUUUAUUUAAAAUCUUGAAGUCUGAUUUCUGAAAAAUUAUAACAAGUUAAAACUUUCAGCAACGGAUCUCUUGGUUCCCACAUCGAUGAAGAACGCAGC
Molecule: unclassified non-coding RNA, 359 nt
Filed under: uncultured fungus
Lineage: Eukaryota; Fungi
Description: partial contains small subunit ribosomal RNA, internal transcribed spacer 1, and 5.8S ribosomal RNA
Rfam family: Eukaryotic small subunit ribosomal RNA (bases 1-73)
Source: RNAcentral